This 337-nucleotide long non-coding RNA is filed under the name Brassica napus (rape). RNAcentral describes it as "long non-coding RNA (BNAP_LNC020166)". The record is from RNAcentral. Lineage: Eukaryota; Viridiplantae; Streptophyta; Magnoliopsida; Brassicales; Brassicaceae.
CCCCCUUAAUAGAAUUCGUCCUCGAAUUCUUAGUUGCGCAAUUGCUCGUCUUCACAACAUUCUCCACUCGUUUCCAUAACCUCUUUACUCUGUCCACCACGGUUCCUUGAGUGUCGUCUUCAAGGUCUCCACAAGCGUCUUCAUAUCUCUUGACUGAGUCGUCCUCUUCCUCUUAUUCUGCCAUAACACCUUGAUUGCCCAUGAUACUAUCUUGUCCAUGAUCGUUCCUGACUUUCUCGAUCUUCGUCUUCCCAACUACUGAUGAAGUCCUUUCCCAACGAAGUCUUGUUUACUCCCAUCUGUCCAGUCCAUACCACAGCCCAGUCCCUCUGAACCU